CCAUCAGAACCGCCUCGGAACUGGACCGGGACAAAAGAGGGGCGGAGCUUCAGCUGAGGUCCAGGUGUUCCUCCUGAAACUGUCGGCUUUUAUUCAACGCCUCUGAUUGUAUUGUGUGGAAAAGAACUUUAAUGAUAAAAACAAAAAAAUGUCAGUGGCUGAAAAAAUUCAAGAUGGCUGCCAUGGUUAUCAAGGACAAUUUUAUUUUUGCACUAAGUUUGCCAGUAUUUAUUGUUGAUGAAUACAAAUAUAACUUCUCUUGUAGAAAUCAUGUUUAGGCACAGCUAACCAAAAGUUAUGCCCCUUUUCCACCGGCUCUACUUCAGCAGCUCGGCUCUAUUUCGGAGUGACCGCGUUUCCACCGGCCGGCUCGGCUCUGUAGCACGGUGCCGCCCCCUGGUGGUGGGGGUUGUAGCGCUCCGCCUCCAGGCGCCAUGUGAUGUGCUUCGUUACGCGACCUAACGCCAGAUGUUGUUUUUCUGGGACAAAAGAAGAAGAGAGAGCUGAGCUAUUGUUUUAUAGCCAAUUGUGAUUUUUCUGGGACUUCAAGAAAAUGCGCGGUGGGAGGAAAACUGUGAUGUGGUGAGGAAGAGGAGGAGGAGGAAGAGGAGGAGGACAGCUGAUCUCCACCUUGCAGGGAGGAAAGCAGGUGGUUCAGACGGUGCAGAUGUUGGUGAACUGCAGACCAUCGCGGUUCUUCCUGCAGCCUCUGAGUUGGAGGAUCUCAUCAGUGUCCGUCUUCCUGACCGCCGGUCGGUUUUUACCUCCAGGAUGUCCAGAGACCUUCAGCUUCUGGAGCAGGAACCACAUGAGCUCCAUGUGCUGAUGAAACAUUUCUAAUUUCAAAUGUGUCUGAUGUUCUUAGAGUUGAAGUGCAUUAACAAUCUGUUGUUUUUCACUUCAAUAUGUUUAAUUAUGAUUCAUCUGACGUCCAAGUUACACUGAGAACAAAUAAAACUGUUUUCCUUCUAAUCUGA
Xiphophorus couchianus (Monterrey platyfish) is the source of this 977-nucleotide long non-coding RNA. RefSeq lists it as uncharacterized. NCBI's taxonomy places the organism in Eukaryota, Metazoa, Chordata, Actinopteri, Cyprinodontiformes, Poeciliidae. The transcript has 2 exons. The record is from RefSeq and is a predicted model, not a curated record.